This 497-nucleotide ribosomal RNA is filed under the name uncultured bacterium. RNAcentral describes it as "partial 16S ribosomal RNA". It matches the Rfam family "Bacterial small subunit ribosomal RNA", at positions 28 to 507 of the family's 1533-position model. The record is from RNAcentral.
GAUGAACGCUGGCGGCGUGCCUAAUACAUGCAAGUCGAGCGAACAGACGAGGAGCUUGCUCCUCUGACGUUAGCGGCGGACGGGUGAGUAACACGUGGAUAACCUACCUAUAAGACUGGGAUAACUUCGGGAAACCGGAGCUAAUACCGGAUAAUAUAUUGAACCGCAUGGUUCAAUAGUGAAAGACGGUUUUGCUGUCACUUAUAGAUGGAUCCGCGCCGCAUUAGCUAGUUGGUAAGGUAACGGCUUACGAAGGCGACGAUGCAUAACCGACCUGAGAGGGUGAUCGGCCCCACUGGAACAGAGACACGGUCAAGACGCCUACGAGAGGCAGCAGUAGGGGAUCUUCCGCAAUGGGCGAAAGCCUGACGGAGCAACGCAGCGUGAGUGAUGAAGGUCUUCGGAUCGUAAAACUCUGUUAUUAGGGAAGAACAAAUGUGUAAGUAACUAUGCACAUCUUGACGGUACCUAAUCAGAAAGCCACGGCUAACUACGUG